Molecule: non-coding RNA, 4316 nt
Organism: Phasianus colchicus (ring-necked pheasant)
Lineage: Eukaryota; Metazoa; Chordata; Aves; Galliformes; Phasianidae
Source: RefSeq, a predicted model, not a curated record
AUCAAAUAGACAUAGUCACUGUUCAGGGACCAAAGACAAGUUCAAAAUAUUGUCUUAAUAGACAGCUAAAUUAAUUUUCAAUGUAAAGGAAUUGUUCAGAGGUGGGAAGUCAUCUAAUGUGCCGGAAUCUGCAACAGUAAGUCUAAUGGCUAGCCAGAAAGACCUCACAGUUCAGCAUUAUGACUCUGUGAUGACUACCAGUAAAAAAUGUUGGCCAAAUGUAUCAAGUUUUCCCCAUUAUAAAACAUUGCUUUUGUUGGUGAUGCAGCUAUGUUUUAUAUAGCACUCAACACUGCUAAAUCAAACAGCCUAAAUCAAAUUCAGCAGAAACUGCACCACUGAUUACAAAGAACAGCAAUUAAAGAUAAAAUGUUUAGCCAGAAGGCAGUACAGCUCUAGAAACACUGGUUUUAUCAUAGAACUCACAAUAUUAAUGCUUACGUGAAUUUUAAUUAAAGCAUUUAAUUCCUGUGCAAUCCCAAUCACACAAGACAUUUUGCACUCUUCCUUUCACAAAAGCCCAUGGUUUUCACAAACAUGUAGACAGAAGGGAGGUAGCAAAACAGUAAAUAUACCCUCAAUGUCAAGUUUGGUCGGAACGUACCAGACAGCAAAACCCUGUCGUGUUUUGCAUAGGGACUCUGAAAUGAAUGAAGGCUUUUUGUUUUGUGAUUAUACACCCUCACGAUGUUCUAAGAAUGUCAUGCUUAACUACAGGGAGUAGAUCUUCAACAGAUCAGCUUGCUUACGCACAAAAUUGAACUGGACAAAUCUUCACUAGAACUCAGCACAAUCACAAUCAGCACCAACCUCUUUUGAAAAUCUGUCCCCAAUUAUUAGAUGCCAAAUACUCAGAAACUUGGCUCUGUGCUCUUAAAAAUCUAAAUCUGUAAACUCAAAACCAGUAUUGCAGCCACUGAGUUGUGGGCACACCUGGCAGUAUUCCUGUCAGGGGAGGAGCAAAGCAAGAGGCAGCCUGUAGCAAAGUGAAUGAACCUUCUUUAAAUGACAAAGCUUACUACUACUGUAUUCACUGGCACUGUAGGACAGUUUAGGUUUGAGACUGUUUUAUUUGCAUUUUGGUUUUUCUCCUUAUCAGUUUAUCACUGAUGUUAGCCUAGCACAUUGCUAGUGACAGUAGAUCUAGAGCCAGAACCGAGCUCACAACUGGCCUGAAAGAAAACCAUCAAUACUAUCAACCAUACUCCUGUAAUCGAACCAGGUUGAAUCUACGAGCUGAAUUUAAAAGAUACUAGCAGAAAGUACAGUAAUAUAUUCAUCCAACUGAUAACUUAUAUGAUGAAACACAGCCAUUUGAUAUUUAAGUGCAUUAGGAUGGUAUAUACUACACAAGUCACUUCCUCAAAUAAAUUAUUUUGCAAAACAAGAUGAAAUUAUACAUUUUGAAGCUUUCAUAGCUUUGAAAUUUCAUAUCAAACAUAGAAUACUAAGGCUGAGGUCCGUGCAACUCUUGGUCCCAAAGGCACAGAUAAAAGUUGCUUUGUUACUGGAGUUUCUUUUCUAGUUUCCAUUCCACACUCAGGAUAUUUGAACAUAGUAGGACAGUAGUAGCUCCCACCUUUGUGUUCAAAUGAAGAACUGAAUUGAGAGUUUUGGCCAAUUCAUACAGCUACUAUUUUAAAGUAUUCCCAUUAGUUCUGUGAACCACCGUACAGCAAAAGUAGAAGCACUGGACUUAUUUGCUUGCUAUGAUCAGAACUAUUAGAAGCCUCCAACCAACUGUGAAAGAAACUCUUGCCUUUACAAGGCAUGCUUAACAUCUAAUGCGUUAGCGUUUCACUUUCUACUGCAAGCAUCUGCCCUCAAAAUUUAAACAUGCUAUUUUCUUAUCAUAAUCCUUUUUUUCCCUUCAGUUAAAAUACAGACUUUUAAAGAGAGAAUGUUAAUUCUAGCCUAUCUAAACAUAGGUGAUUCUUAUAAGACAACAAAAACAUCACUGACUUAAUGUAAAACCUUUCUAAUACCCUAGCGUAUAAUUAAGUAAUUCAUUAGCAAGUAACUUCAAGUGGGUGUAAUUUAAUGUUUCCUUCCUGCACCCUGAGCAAACACAACACAGAAUACUUAAUCCAUUUGAACCCAACCCCCUAAAAUCCACUGACUUAGCAAAAUCUCAUACAGAGACUUACAUGGAAGAACUCCAACCCACCCCCACCCUCCAAGAAUCAUAAAGGCUUACUUCACUUGUAGGUUCACCCCAGAGAAGAGAAGGAAUGGUAGAUUACGCUUUGUUGAUUUUUCAGCCAAUUCUGCAGCACGAAAUCCCCCCAUAAGACUCAGUUAUCUCCUGACCAACCUCCUGGUCAGGGGGGCGGGCUGCUCGUUCAUAGGCCGUGCUGCAGACAGGCACACCUGGCCCACUUCUGCCCUCACCGUUCCACCUUGAGGAAAAGCAGCAAGCAGGUGGCACUGAUCUCAGCAAUGUAGAGGGCAGGGAGCUGCACGUGGGAAAAAACAAGGCCAUAGCGUGUUACAGAACUGCUCACUCGAAACAGCAUUUAGUUAUUUAAUAAAGGUACAAAAACAUAUUGCUAAUUAUUUAGUAAACCUACUGCCAUUUUUUUUUUUUUUUUCUGUAAGACUAGCUUGACAAAGUCAGGAAAGAGAUGAGAAAAUGAAGUUUCGGUUCCCACUUAAAGGCUCGCCUCUCCUGAGGAGAAGACAGCCGUUAUCCCGCAGGCUCUGAGGAAGCUGCCGCGGAGGUGCGACAGUGAAGAUCCCGCUUUCCCGCCACUCGUGCUCUGAUUGGCUGCUCAGGGCCGGCGGGAGCGCAGCGAGGAGCGGCUGCGCUGAGGAGAGCACGAGAUGGCGGCGGGAGCGACGUGAGGCGGCACGUUUCCUCUUUCUGUGAGGUCCCAGCUCAGUGCCUGGCCUAAGCAGAUGAGCCAGGUUGUGGGCAAAUGUGCCGGGGUCAGAAGAACAAGGAUCGUAGUGCAGUCAUUGCCAGCUUCGUGCAUCAGGCAGCGUUUGCACAGAACCCUCUCAGUUUUCCUUUUACUGAGUUCUUUUCAGACGGUUUUACAGGGGGCAGCAAUUCACAGAAAAUAUUGUUUGGGAGUGCACAUAAAUGACAAAAAUAAAGGUAAGUUGUGCUUUACAAGUAACAAAAAGAUGUGCAACAUGCUUUCAAGUAGGAGCAUUGUUCUUUUGCUCUAGUCUUGUUACACAGACACCUAAUGUAGUGCUGUUUUCUGGUUAUUAAUCUUUUAAGUGGAAGCUUAAAAAAACAAAAAGGAAACUGAGUCAGGGCUUAAGUCAAAUUUUUAAAAAACAAAUCUAAGUUAUAGCACCAUAUGAAAUGGUGCAUACAUUUUGAGCUUUUGCCUGCAGAAGCACGCUGAGACAUUCUCAGAACCUUCCAGCACUUAUGUUAAUGAAACUGUCAAAGAUUAUUCAGUGGAUGUUUUUAUUAUACUGCAGGAUUUUGGGAAUAUCCAAACUAACAUUGAUCUGGUUUGUUUGUUCAUUAGCAGGAAAGCUAUGGCAAAACGUUGAACAACCCCAAUUGGAUACGUCUUCAUGGAUACUAAUGAAUACUGCAAUAUAGGCUGAUCAAGAGACUGUAGCUCCUGAGUUCUUUAGGCUGAUUUAAGCAUUCCCUUUGAGUGUUACUUCAUUUCCAAAUAACCUUCCUGUGCAAAAGAUACAGCAUGUUUAACUAUGCAGUUAUUUAGUAAGAGUAGUACCACAAGCAUUAAAUAAUUCACAGAUUUUCCCCUCUCUGCAUAAUUAUCUCACCCCAAACCUCUUUAUUCAAUAUGUGCUGCAUAAUGAAUGUUCCUAUGACCAACACUGAAGGUAGGAUCAUCUCUGCUACGAGUAAAGGAUUACUGGAAUCUCUCUUUGAGCUACUGAAGGCUUCAGGGCUGUGACAGUAAUCCACUGCCUGUUGGCCUUUCCUUGCAUGUGGCAGACAUGAUCAGAUAAAGAAAGAGGAACUUAAUUCUACUUCUGUGUUAAAAUAUCCUUUUCGGUCACAUGAUAUUCUUUCUUGAAAUAUAGUCAUUAAUGACUAUCCUGAACUUACAGGAUUUCUUUUUUUUAAUGAUUAUCAUUGAUUAUAGUUCCAGGAACAUCUAUAACCAUGCCUUCUAGAAAAGUUUUGAAUCUCCAGCUCAUUUUCUAAAGGUAUCUCACUGCUUUAUAGGACAAAAUAGGACAUCAGACAGUCUAACAUCUCUUUCUAAGUCCAAAAUUGGAUUGCUGGUUUAACUGCUUUUAUUUUUAAUACAUGGGUGUUUUAAACUUUUUUUAUAUUAUGCAUACUAAACUUAGGCAUUUUCCUGUAUCUGCAGUUA